RNAcentral lists this ribosomal RNA (820 nucleotides) under Mollisia panicicola. RNAcentral describes it as "partial large subunit ribosomal RNA". It matches the Rfam family "Eukaryotic large subunit ribosomal RNA", at positions 112 to 959 of the family's 3401-position model. The record is from RNAcentral. Lineage: Eukaryota; Fungi; Ascomycota; Leotiomycetes; Helotiales; Mollisiaceae.
AAUUUGAAAGCUGCCAACAGGCCGCGUUGUAAUUUGUAGAAGAUGCUUUGGGUGUCGGCCCAGUCUAAGUUCCUUGGAACAGGACGUCAUAGAGGGUGAGAAUCCCGUAUGUGAUUGGUGCCGUCACCCGUGUAAAGCUCUUUCGACGAGUCGAGUUGUUUGGGAAUGCAGCUCAAAAUGGGUGGUAAAUUUCAUCUAAAGCUAAAUAUUGGCCAGAGACCGAUAGCGCACAAGUAGAGUGAUCGAAAGAUGAAAAGCACUUUGGAAAGAGAGUUAAACAGUACGUGAAAUUGUUGAAAGGGAAGCGCUUGCAAUCAGACUUGCAGGCGGUUGAUCAUCCGGGGUUCUCCCCGGUGCACUCGAUCGUCUUCAGGCCAGCAUCGGUUUCAGUGGUGGGAUAAAGGCUGUGAGAAUGUGGCUCUUCGGAGUGUUAUAGCUCACGGUGCAAUGCCGCCUACUGGGACCGAGGACCGCGCUUCGGCUAGGAUGCUGGCGUAAUGGUUGUAAGCGACCCGUCUUGAAACACGGACCAAGGAGUCUAACAUCUAUGCGAGUGUUUGGGUGUCAAACCCAUACGCGUAAUGAAAGUGAACGGAGGUGAGACCCCGUUAGGGCGCAUCAUCGACCGAUCCUGAUGUCUUCGGAUGGAUUUGAGUAAGAGCAUAGCUGUUGGGACCCGAAAGAUGGUGAACUAUGCGUGAAUAGGGUGAAGCCAGAGGAAACUCUGGUGGAGGCUCGCAGCGGUUCUGACGUGCAAAUCGAUCGUCAAAUUUGCGUAUAGGGGCGAAAGACUAAUCGAACCAUCUAGUAGCUGGUCCUG